AGAGUUUGAUCCUGGCUCAGGAUGAACGCUAGCUACAGGCUUAACACAUGCAAGUCGAGGGGCAGCAUGGUCUUAGCUUGCUAAGGCCGAUGGCGACCGGCGCACGGGUGAGUAACACGUAUCCAACCUGCCGUCUACUCUUGGACAGCCUUCUGAAAGGAAGAUUAAUACAAGAUGGCAUCAUGAGUCCGCAUGUUCACAUGAUUAAAGGUAUUCCGGUAGACGAUGGGGAUGCGUUCCAUUAGAUAGUAGGCGGGGUAACGGCCCACCUAGUCUUCGAUGGAUAGGGGUUCUGAGAGGAAGGUCCCCCACAUUGGAACUGAGACACGGUCCAAACUCCUACGGGAGGCAGCAGUGAGGAAUAUUGGUCAAUGGCGAGAGCCUGAACCAGCCAAGUAGCGUGAAGGAUGACUGCCCUAUGGGUUGUAAACUUCUUUUAUAAAGGAAUAAAGUCGGGUAUGCAUACCCGUUUGCAUGUACUUUAUGAAUAAGGAUCGGCUAACUCCGUGCCAGCAGCCGCGGUAAUACGGAGGAUCCGAGCGUUAUCCGGAUUUAUUGGGUUUAAAGGGAGCGUAGAUGGAUGUUUAAGUCAGUUGUGAAAGUUUGCGGCUCAACCGUAAAAUUGCAGUUGAUACUGGAUAUAUUGAGUGCAGUUGAGGCAGGCGGAAUUCGUGGUGUAGCGGUGAAAUGCUUAGAUAUCACGAAGAACUCCGAUUGCGAAGGCAGCCUGCUAAGCUGCAACUGACAUUGAGGCUCGAAAGUGUGGGUAUCAAACAGGAUUAGAUACCCUGGUAGUCCACACGGUAAACGAUGAAUACUCGCUGUUUGCGAUAUACAGCAAGCGGCCAAGCGAAAGCGUUAAGUAUUCCACCUGGGGAGUACGCCGGCAACGGUGAAACUCAAAGGAAUUGACGGGGGCCCGCACAAGCGGAGGAACAUGUGGUUUAAUUCGAUGAUACGCGAGGAACCUUACCCGGGCUUAAAUUGCAGAUGAAUUACGGUGAAAGCCGUAAGCCGCAAGGCAUCUGUGAAGGUGCUGCAUGGUUGUCGUCAGCUCGUGCCGUGAGGUGUCGGCUUAAGUGCCAUAACGAGCGCAACCCUUGUUGUCAGUUACUAACAGGUCAUGCUGAGGACUCUGACAAGACUGCCAUCGUAAGAUGUGAGGAAGGUGGGGAUGACGUCAAAUCAGCACGGCCCUUACGUCCGGGGCUACACACGUGUUACAAUGGGGGGUACAGAGGGCCGCUACCACGCGAGUGGAUGCCAAUCCCCAAAACCUCUCUCAGUUCGGACUGGAGUCUGCAACCCGACUCCACGAAGCUGGAUUCGCUAGUAAUCGCGCAUCAGCCACGGCGCGGUGAAUACGUUCCCGGGCCUUGUACACACCGCCCGUCAAGCCAUGGGAGCCGGGGGUACCUGAAGUGCGUAACCGCGAGGAGCGCCCUAGGGUAAAACUGGUGACUGGGGCUAAGUCGUAACAAGGUA
RNAcentral lists this ribosomal RNA (1485 nucleotides) under metagenome. RNAcentral describes it as "bacterial SSU rRNA". It matches the Rfam family "Bacterial small subunit ribosomal RNA". The record is from RNAcentral.